UACGUAGGAGGCGAGCGUUGUCCGGAAUUACUGGGCGUAAAGCGCGCGUAGGCGGUCUGUCGCGUCGGCGGUGAAAGCCCUCGGCUCACCUGGGGGAGGUCCGCCGAAACGGACAGACUGGAGGGCGGUAGGGGCUGGCGGAACGCCCGGAGUAGCGGUGAAAUGCGUUGAGAUCGGGCAGAACACCAGUGGCGAAGGCGGCCGGCUGGGCCGACCCUGACGCUGAGGCGCGAAAGCCAGGGGAGCAAACGGG
Molecule: ribosomal RNA, 253 nt
Filed under: uncultured bacterium
Lineage: Bacteria
Description: partial 16S ribosomal RNA
Rfam family: Bacterial small subunit ribosomal RNA
Source: RNAcentral